GAUGAACGCUGGCGGCGUGCUUAACACAUGCAAGUCGAACGAACCUAUUGUUCUUCGGGAUGGUAGGUUAGUGGCGGACGGGUGAGUAACACGUGGGUGACCUGCCUCGAAGUGGGGAAUAACUACUCGAAAGGGUAGCUAAUACCGCAUGUGGUCUAUCAUUCAUUUGGUAGACGAAAGGUCCGUAAGGAUCGCUUCGGGAUGGGCCUGCGUCCGAUUAGGUAGUUGGUGAGGUAAUGGCUCACCAAGCCGAUGAUCGGUAGGGGGCGUGAGAGCGUGGCCCCCCACACUGGCACUGACACACGGGCCAGACACCUACGGGUGGCAG
This 328-nucleotide ribosomal RNA is filed under the name uncultured Chloroflexota bacterium. RNAcentral's name for it is "bacterial SSU rRNA". It matches the Rfam family "Bacterial small subunit ribosomal RNA", at positions 28 to 351 of the family's 1533-position model. Lineage: Bacteria; Bacillati; Chloroflexota. The record is from RNAcentral.